UCCUAACUGCUGGGGAAUCGGUCUUUCGUGAUUUGUGUCCCUUUUCCUGGUGGAUAGGUCAGUCCUGGAGCCGCUUUUUGAGCGCAGGGCUUCAUCAGGUGCCAGGGUUGAAGACCUGUCCCUCAGAGAGGAUGGCGAGACCCGGACUGCCAAGUUCAAGAGGAAAGACUGGAGUCUGAGCAAGUCCCAGGUCAUUUCAGAGAAGGCUGCAGACCCUGACCUAACGAGCGCAGCCAAAAAGAUACAAAGGCCCAAGAGUCUUCAGCUGGUGGACAGCCGCUUAGCUCCAUUCCACAGCUCUGUGCCCCCUCAGGCCACGCCCUUGAGCCCGCCUCCGCUCACGCCCAAAGCGACCAGGACCCUGAGUAAGUUCCGAGGCCUCUUUCAUUCGUUAUCUUAAGGAAUGGAGCAUGUUUAUGAAUGUGGGUGAUUUUUAAUUAAGCCAGACAAAAAUAAUAUGGGAAGUAUACGAGCAUGAUUCAGUUCUGUGUCCACAGAUAUAGAUGGGAUUUUGGCAAGGCUCCCUGGCCUG
RNAcentral lists this long non-coding RNA (532 nucleotides) under Fukomys damarensis (Damara mole-rat). RNAcentral's name for it is "lncRNA (ENSFDAG00000025204.1)". The record is from RNAcentral. Lineage: Eukaryota; Metazoa; Chordata; Mammalia; Rodentia; Bathyergidae.